RNAcentral lists this ribosomal RNA (434 nucleotides) under uncultured Lachnospiraceae bacterium. RNAcentral's name for it is "bacterial SSU rRNA". It matches the Rfam family "Bacterial small subunit ribosomal RNA", at positions 341 to 792 of the family's 1533-position model. Lineage: Bacteria; Bacillati; Bacillota; Clostridia; Lachnospirales; Lachnospiraceae. The record is from RNAcentral.
ACGGAAGGCAGCAGUGGGGAAUAUUGCACAAUGGGGGAAACCCUGAUGCAGCGACGCCGCGUGAGUGAAGAAGUUAUUCGUAAUGUAAAGCUCUAUCAGCAGGGAAGAAAAUGACGGUACCUGACUAAGAAGCCCCGGCUAACUACGUGCCAGCAGCCGCGGUAAUACGUAGGGGGCAAGCGUUAUCCGGAUUUACUGGGUGUAAAGGGAGCGUAGACGGUCUGGCAAGUCUGAUGUGAAAGGCAGGGGCUCAACUCCUGGACUGCAUUGGAAACUGUCAGUCUUGAGUGCCGGAGAGGUAAGCGGAAUUCCUAGUGUAGCGGUGAAAUGCGUAGAUAUUAGGAGGAACACCAGUGGCGAAGGCGGCUUGCUGGACGACAACUGACGCUGAGGCGCGAAAGCGUGGGGAGCAAACAGGAUUAGAUACCCUGGUA